AUGGAGGGCAAGGAGGAGGACGUGCGGCUCGGAGCGAACAAGUACUCGGAGCGGCAGCCCAUCGGCACGGCGGCGCAGGGGUCCGAGGACAAGGACUACAAGGAGCCCCCGCCGGCGCCGCUGUUCGAGCCCGGCGAGCUCAAGUCCUGGUCCUUCUACCGCGCCGGCAUCGCCGAGUUCAUGGCCACCUUCCUCUUCCUCUACGUCACCAUCCUCACCGUGAUGGGCUACAGCGGCGCCACCUCCAAGUGCGCCACCGUCGGCAUCCAGGGCAUCGCCUGGUCCUUCGGCGGCAUGAUCUUCGCCCUCGUCUACUGCACCGCCGGCAUCUCCGGCGGGCACAUCAACCCGGCGGUGACCUUCGGGCUGUUCCUGGCGAGGAAGCUGUCGCUGACCAGGGCGGUGUUCUACAUCAUCAUGCAGUGCCUGGGCGCCAUCUGCGGCGCCGGCGUGGUGAAGGGGUUCCAGCAGGGCCUGUACAUGGGCAACGGCGGCGGCGCCAACGUGGUGGCGCCCGGCUACACCAAGGGCUCCGGCCUCGGCGCCGAGAUCAUCGGCACCUUUGUCCUCGUCUACACCGUCUUCUCCGCCACCGACGCCAAGAGGAACGCCAGGGACUCCCACGUUCCCAUCCUCGCCCCGCUGCCCAUCGGGUUCGCCGUGUUCCUGGUCCACCUGGCCACCAUCCCCAUCACCGGCACCGGCAUCAACCCGGCGAGGAGCCUCGGCGCGGCCAUCAUCUACAACAGGGAGCACGCCUGGUCAGACCACUGGAUCUUCUGGGUCGGCCCCUUCAUCGGCGCCGCGCUGGCCGCCGUGUACCACCAGGUGGUCAUCAGAGCGAUCCCGUUCAAGACCAAGUCCUAA
Molecule: ribosomal RNA, 867 nt
Filed under: Triticum aestivum (bread wheat)
Lineage: Eukaryota; Viridiplantae; Streptophyta; Magnoliopsida; Poales; Poaceae
Description: partial small subunit ribosomal RNA
Source: RNAcentral